AUGGAGAGAGAGGCAGAGGCGCGCCACCAGCUGCUGCUCCACGGCGUGAGCCUCGACCUGCGUCUCGACACGGCCACGCACCAGCACGGCGGCGCGCGCCCGGCGUCCCCUGCUACUCCCGCGGCGCUCCACAACGCCGGCAGGGAGGCCUUCUCCUGCAACUACUGCCACCGCAAGUUCUUCAGCUCUCAGGCGCUCGGCGGCCACCAGAACGCGCACAAGCUCGAGCGCACCCUCGCCAAGCGCAGCCGCGACGUCCCCUCCCCAGCCUUCGCCACGGCGACUGCUUCCUCUUCCACGGCCGCCCACAGCUGGCUCCACGCCGGCGGCGGGGAGCUCUGGGGGUACUCUGCUUCGGCCCCUGCUCCGGACUCCACGACGAUGGCGCCACUGAUGCGCAUGGGGAUGGGCUGGGCUGGCACCGCAGCGGCCGCCGGGGAGGCGGUGCCGGAGAUGGACCUGUCGCUCAAGCUCUGA
RNAcentral lists this ribosomal RNA (477 nucleotides) under Triticum aestivum (bread wheat). RNAcentral's name for it is "partial small subunit ribosomal RNA". The record is from RNAcentral. Lineage: Eukaryota; Viridiplantae; Streptophyta; Magnoliopsida; Poales; Poaceae.